This 478-nucleotide long non-coding RNA is filed under the name Solanum tuberosum (potato). RNAcentral describes it as "long non-coding RNA (STUB_LNC011960)". Lineage: Eukaryota; Viridiplantae; Streptophyta; Magnoliopsida; Solanales; Solanaceae. The record is from RNAcentral.
UCGGAAAGGGAAAGCUCCGGAGAAGUGAUUUUGGAGCGCGUGUGAUUGGCCUACAGGUAGGCUACGGUUUUCCCUCUCUUAGAUUGAGCUCGAGAAUGUGAAUGCAUGUUGAUUAGUUGGGAUUUGGGUUGGGUAGUUAUUGAAUCCUACUUAGGUGUUAAGAAAUCAUGUUUUCGGCCUAUUUCGGGAAUUAUCGGGUAACUGUGAGCAUGCUUUGUGUUAUUAACGGACCCUCCUCGCUAUGUGGAGUACUUGCAUGCUUAAUUACUGUUUAUUUGAAGCAUGUUGGACCUUAGUUUAGGUUUGACUAGGGCUUGCCUCAGAAAUACAUUAUUCGAAUCCAAUAGGCCUUAGUUUUGCCCCGACGUCGCUCGGCCGGCUUAGAUCCCUGUAGACUGGUGUAGCAGACUUGAGUCUGAUAUUUUGGGCCUUAGUUAGGUGGUACUCUUUCUCCGACUAUAGUUAUCCUUAUUUUCCC